GUCUUUUUGGAAAUAAUUUAAAGUCUAAUCUGCCCACUGAUAAAUAUUAAAGGGCUGCAGUAUAUUGACUGUACAAAGGUAGCAUAAUCAUUAGUCUUUUAAUUGAAGACUUGUAUGAAAGAUUUAAUGAAAUAUAAACUGUCUCUUAUUUAUAAUUAGAAUUUAAUUUUUUAGUUAAAAAGCUAAAAUAAAUUUAAAAGACGAGAAGACCCUAUAGAGUUUUAUAAUUAAUUUAUUUUAGAUUAUAUAUAUAAUUUAAAAUUAAAAAUAAAUUAAUUAUUUUAUUGGGGUGAUAGAAAAAUUAAAUAAACUUUUUUUAAAUAUAGUCAUAAAUAAAUGAUUAAAUGAUCCAUUAAUAAUGAUUAAAAGAAAAAAUUACCUUAGGGAUAACAGCGUAAUUUUUUUUUUUAGUUCAAAUAAAAAAAAGAGAUUGCGACCUCGAUGUUGGAUUAAGAUAAAAUAUAAAUGCAAAAGUUUAAAAUUUUGAUCUGUUCGAUCAUUAAAAUCUU
RNAcentral lists this ribosomal RNA (509 nucleotides) under Danaus genutia (orange tiger). Its description in RNAcentral is "partial 16S ribosomal RNA". The stretch from base 386 to 509 matches the Rfam family "Bacterial large subunit ribosomal RNA", at positions 2473 to 2597 of the family's 2925-position model. Lineage: Eukaryota; Metazoa; Arthropoda; Insecta; Lepidoptera; Nymphalidae. The record is from RNAcentral.